This 1448-nucleotide ribosomal RNA is filed under the name uncultured Bordetella sp. Its description in RNAcentral is "partial 16S-23S ribosomal RNA intergenic spacer". It matches the Rfam family "Bacterial small subunit ribosomal RNA". Lineage: Bacteria; Pseudomonadati; Pseudomonadota; Betaproteobacteria; Burkholderiales; Alcaligenaceae. The record is from RNAcentral.
GGACGAUCAUGGCUCAGAUUGAACGCUGGCCGGGAUGCGCUACGCAAAUCGAACGGCAGCACGGACUUCGGUCUGGUGGCAGUGGCGAACGGGUGAGUAAUGUAUCAGAACGUGCCUAGUAGCGGGGGAUAACUACGCGAAAGCGUAGCUAAUGCCGCAUGCGUAUUCGAGGGGAAAGCGGGGGACCUUCGGGCCUCGCACUAUUAAACGGCCGAUAUCGGAUUAGCUAGUUGGUGGGGUAACGGCUCACCAAGGCGACGAUCCGUAGCUGGUUUGAGGACGACCAGCCACACUGGGACUGAGACACGGCCCAGACUCCUACGGGAGGCAGCAGUGGGGAAUUUUGGACAAUGGGGAAACCUGAUCCAGCCAUCCCGCGUGUGCGAUGAAGGACCUUCGGGUUAUCGCGCUUCUUGGCGGGAAAGAAACGGCUGCAGGAUAAUACCCCGUGCAACUGACGUACCUGCAGAAUAAGCACCGGCUAACUGUGCAGCAGCCGCGGGUAAUACGUAGGGUGCAAGCGUUAAUCAGAUUGCACAGGCGUAAAGCGUGCGCAGGCGGUUCGGAGAAAGAUGUAAAUCCCAGAGCUUAACUUUGGAACUGCACAUUUUAACUACCAGGCUGAAGUGUGUCAGAGGUGGAAUUCCAUAGACAACGGCUGGCGAUGAAAUGCGUGAUAUGCGGAGGAACUUACCGAUGGCGAAGGCAGCCUCUGGGAUAACACUGACGCUCAUGCACAACGUGGGAGCAAACAGGAUUAAAAUGCCCUGGUAGUCCACGCCCUAGAACGAUGUCAACUAGCUGUUGAAAACACCAGUAUGGGCGGCGUGGCGUUGAAGGAUUGAUGCUGAGAGUGCGGUCAGCUAAGAUUAAAACUCAAGGAAUUGACGGGGACCCGCACAAGCGGUGGAUGAUGUGGAUUAAUUCGAUGGAAAGCAUGAAAACCUUACCUACCGCCAACAUAUCAGGUCCCGAAGAUUUGGGAGGCAACCAUGAAACUACAGGUUUUUUGGGGGUGCUUUAUAGCUGUCGUCAGCUCGUGUCGUGAGAUGUUGGGUUGAUCACAACGAAGCGCAACCCUUGUCAUUAGUUACUACGAAAGGGCACUCUAAUGAGACUGCCGGUGACAAACCGGAGGAAGGUGGGGAUGACGUCAAGUCACUGGCGUGGUGGAACGCCACGUCAUACAAUGGUCGGGACAGAGGGUCGCCAACCCGCGAGGAGCCAAUCCCAGAAACCCGAUCGUAGUCCGGAUCGCAGUCUGCAACUCGACUGCGUGAAGUCGGAAUCGCUAGUAUCGCGGAUCAGCAUGUCGCGGUGAAUACGUUCCCGGGUCUUGUACCGCCCCGUCACCCAUGGGAGUGGGUUUUACCAAAGUAGUUAGCCUAACCAUGGAGGGCGAUUACCACGGUAGGAUUCAUGACUGGGGUAAGUCGUAGCUAAGGUAA